UUAAGUAAGGAAGGGCGUACGGCGAAUGCCUUGCCACUCGAAACUGAAGAAGGACGCGCCAAACUGCGAAAAGCUCCGUGAAGCUGUAAGGAAGCGAAGAAGCGGAGGUGUCCGAAUGGGGGAACCCGGCAGCAGACAUGAGCUGUCAUCUGCAGGUGAAUACAUGGCCUGCAAGAGAGGUACCCGGCGAACUGAAACAUCUAAGUAGCCGGAGGAAAAGAAAACAACAGUGAUUCCCUGAGUAGCGGCGAGCGAAAGGGGAGAAGCCCAAACCGGUUGAAGGACCGGGGUUGAAGGACCAUGACAUGGCAAGAACGAGGAUAGGAGAACGGGAUCGAAAGCCCGGCCGAAGAAGGUGAAAGCCCUGUAACCGAAAUCCGAGUAAAGCCUAAUGGGAUCCUGAGUACGGCGAGACACGAGAAAUCUUGUCGGAAGCAGGCGGGACCAUCCGCCAAGGCUAAAUAUAAACGAGUGAGCGAUAGUGAACCAGUACCGUGAGGGAAAGGUGAAAAGAACCGCGGGAGCGGAGUGAAAGAGAACCUGAAACCGUAUGCCUACAAGAAGUCAGAGCCCGUUAAGGGGUGAUGGCGUGCCUUUUGUAGAAUGAACCGGCGAGUUGCGACAGACUGCGAGGUUAAGGAGGAAAGACCGGAGCCGAAGCGAAAGCGAGUCUUAAGAGGGCGAAAGUAGGAUGUUGCAGACCCGAAACCGGGUGAUCUAGCCAUGAGCAGGUUGAAGUUGAGGUGAAACUCAAUGGAGGACCGAACCGACUACCGUUGAAAAGUUAGCGGAUGACUUGUGGCUAGGGGAGAAAUUCCAAUCGAACCCGGAGAUAGCUGGUUCUCCCCGAAAUAGCUUUAGGGCUAGCGUCGGAAAGAACCUUAGUGAAGGUAGAGCACUGAAUGUGUGAUGGCCCCAUCCCGGGGUACUGAAUACAAUCAAACUGCGAAUGUCAUUAAGGAUGUCCGGCAGUCAGACUGUGAGUGAUAAGGUCCAUGGUCAAGAGGGAAACAGCCCAGACCGCCAGUUAAGGUCCCAAAAUACAGGCUAAGUGGAAAAGGAUGUGGGGAUGCCCAGACAACUAGGAGGUUGGCUCAGAAGCAGCCAUCCUUUAAAGAGUGCGUAACAGCUCACUAGUCGAGUGACCCUGCGCCGAAAAUGUACCGGGGCUAAGCCUGAUACCGAAACUGCGGAUUGUAGGAAACUAUAGUGGUAGGGGAGCGUUGUAUACGAGCAGAAGCCGUACCGUGAGGAGCGGUGGAUUGUAUAGAAGUGAGAAUGCCGGUGUGAGUAGCGAGAUGUAGGUGAGAAUCCUACACACCGAAAGCCCAAGGAUUCCAGGGGAAGGUUCGUCCGCCCUGGGUAAGUCGGGACCUAACGCGAGGCCGAAAGGCGUAGUGGAUGGAAAGCAGGCGAAAGAUUCCUGCACCCGUAUAUGGAGCGAAGGAGUGACGGAGACGGAUAGUGUGACCCUCUUAAUGGAUUGAGGGCGAAGCGAAGCGGCUGGUUACCAGGCAAAUCCGGUAACCAUAAGGCUAGAGCGUGACAGGUAAGCGAAAUCUUAGGAAAGUAGCGAAGCACAUGAUGACGGCUUCCAGGAAAAGCUUCUGGCAAUGCAUAUGCGGCCCGUACCAAAACCGACACAGGUGGGCAGGGAGAGAAUCCCGAGGUGAGCGAGAGAACUGUUGCCAAGGAACUCGGCAAAAUGACUCCGUAAGUUAGCGAGAAGGAGUGCUUAAGCAAUUAAGCCGCAGUGAAGAGGCCCAAGCGACUGUUUAACUAAAACACAGCUCUCUGCGAAGUCGCAAGACGAAGUAUAGGGGGUGACACCUGCCCGGUGCUGGAAGGUUAAGAGGAUCUGUUAAGAGCGAUCUGAAGCAGUGAUCCGAAGCCCCAGUGAACGGCGGCCGUAACUAUAACGGUCCUAAGGUAGCGAAAUUCCUUGUCAGGUAAGUUCUGACCCGCACGAAAGGUGUAACGAUUUGGGCGCUGUCUCGGCAGCAGACUCGGUGAAAUCUUAGUACCUGUGAAAAUGCAGGUUACCCGCAACUAGACGGAAAGACCCCAUGGAGCUUUACUGCAGCCUGAUAUUGAAUUCUGGUCAUACAUGUACAGGAUAGGUGGGAGACAAAGAGACGUGCACGCCAGUGUACGAGGAGUCGACGUUGGGAUACCACUCUUGUGUGACCGGGGUUCUAACCUGGUAUCGAGAACAGGUACGGGGAGAGUGUCAGGUGGGCAGUUUGACUGGGGCGGUCGCCUCCCAAAGAGUAACGGAGGCGCCCAAAGGUUCCCUCAGCGCGGCCGGAAAUCGCGCGAAGAGUGUAAAGGCAGAAGGGAGCUUGACUGAGAGCCAAACACGGCGAUCAGGUACGAAAGUAGGGCUUAGUGAUCCGGUGGCAUCCAAGUGGAAGGGCCAUCGCUCAACGGAUAAAAGCUACCCUGGGGAUAACAGGCUAAUCUCUCCCAAGAGUCCAUAUCGACGGGGAGGUUUGGCACCUCGAUGUCGGCUCAUCACAUCCUGGGGCUGAAGUCGGUCCCAAGGGUUGGGCUGUUCGCCCAUUAAAGUGGUACGUGAGCUGGGUUCAGAACGUCGUGAGACAGUUCGGUCCCUAUCCAUCGCGGGCGCAAGAGAUUUGAAGGGGGCUGCUCCUAGUACGAGAGGACCGGAGUGGACGAACCAAUGGUGUACCAAUUAUCUCGCCAGAGGUAUAGUUGGGUAGCUACGUUCGGAAAGGAUAAACGCUGAAAGCAUCUAAGCGUGAAACCAGCCUUAAGAUGAGAUCUCUCAUAGAGUAAUCUAGUAAGACACCUUGGAGAAGACGAGGUUGAUAGGUCGGGAGUGUAAGUACAGUAAUGUAUUCAGCGGACCGAUACUAAUAUGUCGAGGGCUUGACUUA
RNAcentral lists this ribosomal RNA (2900 nucleotides) under human gut metagenome. Its description in RNAcentral is "bacterial LSU rRNA". It matches the Rfam family "Bacterial large subunit ribosomal RNA". The record is from RNAcentral.